CUUGGCACUGAACAUUGACCCUACAUGUGUAGGAUAGGUGGGAGGCUUUGAAGCACGUACGCCAGUAUGUGUGGAGCCGUCCUUGAAAUACCACCCUUGUAGUGUUGAUGUUCUAACGUCGACCCCUUAUCGGGGUUGCGGACAGUGCCUGGUGGGUAGUUUGACUGGGGCGGUCUCCUCCCAAAGAGUAACGGAGGAGCACGAAGGUGGGCUAAUCACGGUUGGACAUCGUGAGGUUAGUGCAAUGGCAUAAGC
Molecule: ribosomal RNA, 255 nt
Filed under: Vibrio parahaemolyticus
Lineage: Bacteria; Pseudomonadati; Pseudomonadota; Gammaproteobacteria; Vibrionales; Vibrionaceae
Description: partial 23S ribosomal RNA
Rfam family: Bacterial large subunit ribosomal RNA
Source: RNAcentral